AGGCAGCAGUAGGGAAUCUUCCACAAUGGACGAAAGUCUGAUGGAGCAACGCCGCGUGAGUGAAGAAGGGUUUCGGCUCGUAAAGCUCUGUUGGUAGUGAAGAAAGAUAGAGGUAGUAACUGGCCUUUAUUUGACGGUAAUUACUUAGAAAGUCACGGCUAACUACGUGCCAGCAGCCGCGGUAAU
This 186-nucleotide ribosomal RNA is filed under the name uncultured Lactobacillus sp. RNAcentral describes it as "partial 16S ribosomal RNA". It matches the Rfam family "Bacterial small subunit ribosomal RNA", at positions 346 to 524 of the family's 1533-position model. Lineage: Bacteria; Bacillati; Bacillota; Bacilli; Lactobacillales; Lactobacillaceae. The record is from RNAcentral.